Molecule: ribosomal RNA, 253 nt
Filed under: uncultured bacterium
Lineage: Bacteria
Description: partial 16S ribosomal RNA
Rfam family: Bacterial small subunit ribosomal RNA
Source: RNAcentral
AACGUAGGAGACAAACGUUAUCCGGAGUUACUGGGCGUAAAGGGCGUGUAGGCGGUUUCGUAAGUCUGGCGUGAAAUUUUUCGGCUUAACCGGGAAAGGUCGUCGGAUACUGCGGAGCUAGAGGACGGUAGAGGCGUGUGGAAUUCCGGGUGUAGUGGUGAAAUGCGUAGAGAUCCGGAGGAACACCAGUGGCGAAGGCGACACGCUGGGCCGUACCUGACACUGAUGCGCGACAGCAUGGGGAGCAAACAGG